GAUGAAGAACGUAGCGAAAUGCGGUAAGUAAUGUGAAUUGCAGAAUUCAGUGAAUCAUCGAAUCUUUGAACGCACCUUGCGCCCUUUGGCCAUUCCGAAGGGCAUGCCUGUUUGAGUAUCAUGAACACCUCAACUCUUUAUGGUUUUCCAUGAUGAGCUUGGACUCUGGGGGUUUUGCUGGCUCACAGUCGGCUCCUCUAAAAUGAAUCAGCUUACCAGUGUUUGGUGGGUAUCAUGGGUGUGAUAACUAUCUACGCUUGUGGUUUUUCCACCAGGUAACCUUCAGCAGUGGAGGUUCGCUGGAGCUCAUAGAUGUCUCUCCUCAGUGAGGACAGCCCUUUGAAUGUUUGAUCUCAAAUCAGGUAGGACUACCCGCUGAACUUAAGCAUAUCAAUAAGCGGAGGA
RNAcentral lists this unclassified non-coding RNA (405 nucleotides) under soil metagenome. Its description in RNAcentral is "partial contains 5.8S ribosomal RNA, internal transcribed spacer 2, and large subunit ribosomal RNA". The stretch from base 1 to 121 matches the Rfam family "5.8S ribosomal RNA", at positions 35 to 154 of the family's 154-position model. The record is from RNAcentral.